UUAGUGGCGGACUGGUGAGUAACGCGUGAGGAACCUGCCUCUCAGAGGGGGACAACAGUUGGAAACGACUGCUAAUACCGCAUGACACAUCGGAAGGGCAUCCUUCUGAUGUCAAAGAUUUUAUCGCUGAGAGAUGGCCUCGCGUCUGAUUAGCUGGUUGGUGAGGUAAUGGCCCACCAAGGCGACGAUCAGUAGCCGGACUGAGAGGUUGACCGGCCACAUUGGGACUGAGAUACGGCCCAGACUCCUACGGGAGGCAGCAGUGGGGAAUAUUGGGCAAUGGACGCAAGUCUGACCCAGCAACGCCGCGUGAAGGAAGAAGGCUUUCGGGUUGUAAACUUCUUUUG
This 347-nucleotide ribosomal RNA is filed under the name uncultured bacterium. RNAcentral's name for it is "bacterial SSU rRNA". It matches the Rfam family "Bacterial small subunit ribosomal RNA", at positions 92 to 438 of the family's 1533-position model. The record is from RNAcentral.